This is a small nuclear RNA of Suricata suricatta (meerkat), 109 nucleotides long. The record is from Ensembl. NCBI's taxonomy places the organism in Eukaryota, Metazoa, Chordata, Mammalia, Carnivora, Herpestidae.
GUGCUCGCUUCGGCAGCACAUAUACUAAAAUUGGAAUGAUACAGAGAAGAUUAGCAUGGCCCCUGCACAAGGAUGACACGUAAAAUGUUUUAUGAUUUCUCCAACUGAU